UGCCUGGCAAUGGGCAAAGAGAAACCUGAUUGGUGGUGUUGCUCUUAUAUCAGUCAGGAGCAAAGCAAACAUACAGUCCUUAGUUCAGCCUAAUUUGAUGCCUGUGUUGGUGGCCAGAGUUGUUUUAUGCCUGGGAAACAUUU
This 143-nucleotide small nucleolar RNA is filed under the name Myotis brandtii (Brandt's bat). RNAcentral's name for it is "Small nucleolar RNA SNORA48". It matches the Rfam family "Small nucleolar RNA SNORA48". From Rfam's summary of the family: The snoRNA ACA 48 has been identified to guide pseudouridylation of the residue U3797 in the 28S rRNA subunit. Lineage: Eukaryota; Metazoa; Chordata; Mammalia; Chiroptera; Vespertilionidae. The record is from Rfam by way of RNAcentral.